Molecule: ribosomal RNA, 574 nt
Filed under: Clonostachys byssicola
Lineage: Eukaryota; Fungi; Ascomycota; Sordariomycetes; Hypocreales; Bionectriaceae
Description: eukaryotic LSU rRNA
Rfam family: Eukaryotic large subunit ribosomal RNA
Source: RNAcentral
UUGACCUCAGAUCAGGUAGGAAUACCCGCUGAACUUAAGCAUAUCAAUAAGCGGAGGAAAAGAAACCAACAGGGAUUGCCCUAGUAACGGCGAGUGAAGCGGCAACAGCUCAAAUUUGAAAUCUGGCGCAAGCCCGAGUUGUAAUUUGUAGAGGAUGUUUCUGGCGACGUGCCUUCCGAGUUCCCUGGAACGGGACGCCAUAGAGGGUGAGAGCCCCGUACGGUUGGAUGCCUAGCCUCUGUGAAACUCCUUCGACGAGUCGAGUAGUUUGGGAAUGCUGCUCUAAAUGGGAGGUAUACGUCUUCUAAAGCUAAAUACCGGCCAGAGACCGAUAGCGCACAAGUAGAGUGAUCGAAAGAUGAAAAGCACUUUGAAAAGAGGGUUAAAAAGUACGUGAAAUUGUUGAAAGGGAAGCGUUCAUGACCAGACUUGGGCAGGUUGAUCAUCCGUGGUUCUCCGCGGUGCACUCUGCCUGCCCAGGCCAGCAUCAGUUCGUCUCGGGGGAUAAAGGCUCUGGGAAUGUGGCUCCUUCGGGAGUGUUAUAGCCCACUGCGUAAUACCCUGGGAUGGACUG